This 69-nucleotide transfer RNA is filed under the name Ictidomys tridecemlineatus (thirteen-lined ground squirrel). Its description in RNAcentral is "Spermophilus tridecemlineatus (thirteen-lined ground squirrel) tRNA". It matches the Rfam family "tRNA". Rfam says of the family: Transfer RNA (tRNA) molecules are approximately 80 nucleotides in length. Their secondary structure includes four short double-helical elements and three loops (D, anti-codon, and T loops). Further hydrogen bonds mediate the characteristic L-shaped molecular structure. tRNAs have two regions of fundamental functional importance: the anti-codon, which is responsible for specific mRNA codon recognition, and the 3' end, to which the tRNAs corresponding amino acid is attached (by aminoacyl-tRNA synthetases). tRNAs cope with the degeneracy of the genetic code in two manners: having more than one tRNA (with a specific anti-codon) for a particular amino acid; and 'wobble' base-pairing, i.e. permitting non-standard base-pairing at the 3rd anti-codon position. Lineage: Eukaryota; Metazoa; Chordata; Mammalia; Rodentia; Sciuridae. The record is from Rfam by way of RNAcentral.
GGGGCUGUAGCUCAAUUGUAGAGUGCUUGCCUAGCAUGCAUGAGACACUGAGUUCUAUCCUCAGCACCA